This 494-nucleotide ribosomal RNA is filed under the name uncultured bacterium. Its description in RNAcentral is "partial 16S ribosomal RNA". It matches the Rfam family "Bacterial small subunit ribosomal RNA", at positions 28 to 507 of the family's 1533-position model. The record is from RNAcentral.
GACGAACGCUGGCGGCGCGCUUAACACAUGCAAGUCGAACGGAAAGGCCUGCUUUCCCUUGUGGAUUGCGGGUACUCGAGUGGCGAACGGGUGAGUAACACGUGAGUGAUCUGCCCCCAACUUGGGUAUAAGCCUGGGAAACUGGGUCUAAUUCCCGAUAGGACUGCAGGGUGGUGCCUGUGGUGGAAAACGAUUUUCUAGUGGUUGGGGAUGAGCUCGCGGCCUAUCAGCUUGUUGGUGGGGUAAUGGCCUACCAAGGCGGCGACGGGUAGCCGGCCUGAGAGGGUGGACGGCCCCAUUGGGACUGAGAUACGGCCCAGACUCCUACGGGAGGCAGCAGUGGGGAAUAUUGCACAAUGGGCGGAAGCCUGAUGCAGCGACGCCGCGUGGGGGAUGACGGCCUUCGGGUUGUAAACUCCUUUCGACCGCGAGGAAGCCACCUGGUUGGAAGGGUGGUGACGGUAGUGGUAGAAGAAGCACCGGCUAACUACGUG